AGUGAUCCUACGGGAGGCAGCAGUGGGGAAUAUUGCACAAUGGGCGAAAGCCUGAUGCAGCAACGCCGCGUGAGCGAUGAAGGCCUUCGGGUCGUAAAGCUCUGUCCUAAGGGAAGAUAAUGACGGUACCUUAGGAGGAAGCCCCGGCUAACUACGUG
This 158-nucleotide ribosomal RNA is filed under the name uncultured Clostridium sp. RNAcentral describes it as "partial 16S ribosomal RNA". It matches the Rfam family "Bacterial small subunit ribosomal RNA", at positions 332 to 507 of the family's 1533-position model. The record is from RNAcentral. Lineage: Bacteria; Bacillati; Bacillota; Clostridia; Eubacteriales; Clostridiaceae.